Molecule: long non-coding RNA, 360 nt
Filed under: Danio rerio (zebrafish)
Lineage: Eukaryota; Metazoa; Chordata; Actinopteri; Cypriniformes; Danionidae
Description: lncRNA si:dkey-159n16.1 (ENSDARG00000097775.2)
Source: RNAcentral
UAUUUGCCUCGCAGACAUGAAUCAUACCUGUACACCAUCUGCAUAAAGGCUGGAUUGUGCACCUUUCCCCUUGUGUGCUGUUGGGUCAUUUUCAUCAAUUCUGGGGUGAUUUUGAGGCUUAAUUUGGCCAAAACUUUCUCUGCAUUUCAGCAAACGGACUGAUACUUGGGGGCAUCUUAUUUUGACAUAUUCUGGAAUGAAAUUCAACCUGUUUGUUCCUGCAGAUCUUCCUGUUUGACUGUGAAUGUUUCUUCAAUCUUCACAUCUUCACUCUCCUCUUUAAUAAACGCCAUCUUUAUAACAGUGUGGAGAUCAGUCGCUUCAGCAGGAGUUUUUCUCUGUGUUUGGACACUUUAUCCU